RNAcentral lists this transfer RNA (94 nucleotides) under Gnomoniopsis smithogilvyi. Its description in RNAcentral is "tRNA-Leu". It matches the Rfam family "tRNA". Rfam says of the family: Transfer RNA (tRNA) molecules are approximately 80 nucleotides in length. Their secondary structure includes four short double-helical elements and three loops (D, anti-codon, and T loops). Further hydrogen bonds mediate the characteristic L-shaped molecular structure. tRNAs have two regions of fundamental functional importance: the anti-codon, which is responsible for specific mRNA codon recognition, and the 3' end, to which the tRNAs corresponding amino acid is attached (by aminoacyl-tRNA synthetases). tRNAs cope with the degeneracy of the genetic code in two manners: having more than one tRNA (with a specific anti-codon) for a particular amino acid; and 'wobble' base-pairing, i.e. permitting non-standard base-pairing at the 3rd anti-codon position. The record is from RNAcentral. Lineage: Eukaryota; Fungi; Ascomycota; Sordariomycetes; Diaporthales; Gnomoniaceae.
GGCAACCUGGCCGAGCGGUUAAGGCGCUACGUUCAGGAGUAUCUGAAGCAUCGUAGUCUCGAAAGAGGCGUGUGUUCGAAUCACACGGUUGUCA